Molecule: long non-coding RNA, 2189 nt
Filed under: Malus domestica (apple)
Lineage: Eukaryota; Viridiplantae; Streptophyta; Magnoliopsida; Rosales; Rosaceae
Description: long non-coding RNA (MDOM_LNC017579)
Source: RNAcentral
CUGGUGCCUUUUUUUGUGUUUUAUUUUAAUUUUUUGGGUAUUUAAAAGCAUGGUGUUUAUUUAAUGUUUUAUUUUAAUUUUUUGGGUAUUUAAAAGCAUGGUGUUUAUUUUAUGUUUUAUUUUAAUUUCUUUUGUGUUUUAUUUUAAUUGUUUUGGUAUUUAAAAGAAUGAAUUCUGUUUUAAUUUUGUUUAAUUUAAAGCAUGGUGUUUCAAACCCAAAAACAUAGGGGAUGUAAAUAGGAACCUAACCGCCACACUAAGAUUUUUUUUUCCUUACAUCAUCUCAAUUAUAUGUGAUUAUAAUUAAAUGUAAAAGAAAACAUAGCAACAAAAUGUUAGACCCUCUAAGGGCUUUUUAUAGGGUAUGUUAAAAUAAAGAGUUUCGAACCCAAAAACACAGUACCGAAUUUUUUUUCUUUUACACAGCAAAUAGAUAUCUAACCACAGCACUAAAUUUUUUCUUUAACUCAAUCUAUAAAUAAUCAUAAAAAUUAAAAUGUAAAAGAAAACAUAUCAACCAAAAUUCUAUACUUAUUAAGGGCCUCCUUUGGAGUCUCGCACAAAACCCCCAAAAUCUCAGGGCCAGCCCUGGGGUAAUGUUGAUACUAAAUUUAUAGGCAAAAAACGAAAUGACAUGGAAGUUGAAGAUUAAAUUAUUACUUUAGUAUUCAUUAACGUACUUAUUUUUUAUUAGUGACAUAUCAUUUAGUUUGUAAAUGUGGUUUACAAUUUCAAUCUACUUAGUAUUACUCGAGAAGGGUAAUUAUUUGCAUAUUAGACUAAAACCUCUAUACAGUCAUAACGUUUGGACUAAACUAAUUUUAGGGAUACUUGGAUCCAGUUCCAAAAGUUUGAGCUGCUGUUGGAUUUAGUCCUUUUUUUUUAACUUUAAUUAAAAUUUUAAUUUAUUCAUCUUUACUCAAAUAUUUAAUUUAAAUACUAAAAUAUGAAAAUUUAAUCACUUCCAUGAAAGAUGGCUACUAGACGAUUUAUAUGUCAUCAUAUAUCAUAUAGGUUGAUAAAACACAUUUAACCUGUGGUAGAUUUAUCUACGAAAGUAAAUAAAAUUUAAUCUAUCUAUCACUCUUUAAAAUAAUUCAAAGAAAUUUCAUCUUCGAUACAUUUAUAAAUCCAUACUAGCAUAUAUGCUAACAUAUAUAUAUAUAUAGUACCUGCAACAUAGAUUAGUUAACCUAAUUAAACUUGAUGGAGGUAGAAAAAAAAAUUGAGAUACGAAUUAGGAGUAGGAAAAAUGAGAAACAAUAUUUAAUUCUUAUAUUUAAUCAUCAAAUUGAGUAAAAUAUAGGGAGUUUUAACAAAACAUUUCUGGUACUGUUUACUUUUAACGAAAAACCACAUUUUUACCUUUAACUAGCACUAUUCACUAUACCUUUAAAAAGAACUUUUCGUUCAAAGAGAAGUUUUUUUGGAUUUUUUGUUAGUUUUUCUUAAAAUAUAAACUUAUGGUAAGGGAUGAUAUUUAUCACAGUUUGACAAAAAGAUAAUGAAAAAAAAAUGAUGUGGAUAAUCAUUUAAUGGACCUAACCUAACAAAGUGGAUUAAACCCAAUAACGACUCACAAAAUUGGACUUAUAUCAAGUUUACUCUUAUUAUUAAAAAAAAAGUUAUUACUUAAUAGAAGUGUAUCUAACAAGAUUAUUUUUUUACAAUGAUCCUUAAUAAAAAUUGUAUGGACACAAAACACUACAUUAAUAGUGGAGCAUGUCAAUUUUUAAGAUGACAUUAGGAAAAUAGACAUCUUAUCUCUAAUGGCUGGCUAAUGCAUGUAUGUUUGUAGUGCUUUCCUUAAUGUUAAAAGUCACAUGCCAAUAAAUUAUAAACAUGCCGAAGAAGCAAGAAACAUUUUGGUUUUAACAAUAAGGACUCUAUGUUGAUGAGUUAUUACAUACUCGCAAACUCAAAUACUUCACAUCAACUCCAAAAAAAUGUAAGAAAAUUAUAGUUUAUUAAAAUGUUGAGUAUAUUGUUAUAUAUAACUAGCCCAAGUUAUUCAUCUAUAGCACUCCAAUUUUAUUUAAAUAUAAAUAAAAAUGCAUGUGUUGUAAUUAAGUAGAAGGCACAUAAUAUGUUUGGCCAAUUUCCCCUUUGCUGUUAUUUUUCCAUAGAUUCCAUACAAAUUAACAUUAAUUUUUAUCACGUACACACAACGUGACUGCAAGGUUUUAAAA